This 694-nucleotide unclassified non-coding RNA is filed under the name Hevea brasiliensis (rubber tree). The record is from RNAcentral. Lineage: Eukaryota; Viridiplantae; Streptophyta; Magnoliopsida; Malpighiales; Euphorbiaceae.
AACCCCAACAAUAACCGCAAUCCACAAAGGAAUCAUAAACAUGACGAGCUCAAUCACGACAUCUCCAAAAGUGGGUCUCUUCAAAAUCUCUAACAAAAUCGACCACACAGCCAUUUACCCUUUCCCGAAACGAAAUAGCCGCAAACCAAGGAAUAUUCAGCAAUCCAAAUACAACCCAGAUAAAUAACAGCAAAGAAAACCCAUAAAAAAAAAAAAAGAAAAACCCUCGAUUGAAUCGAAAUGGUAAGACGCGUUAAGCACUGCUAUUAGUCGAGGGUUUCAAAGAAAGAAGAGGGUAAUGUCACAGCAGAGCCGAGAUUUGAAAUGGACCAAUAAAGGAGGGUGAACGUGGGUGGAGAAAGGAAUAAUGAGAAAAAUAUUUGGGCUUUGCUGAGAAGCUGUAGAAAAAUGAGGAAGAAGACGAGUAUUGCUUCUGUUUAGCUGUUGAUAUCUACUACAGAUAGGGCUUUGGGAGAUAAGCGGUAGGGAGGCGUGUGCUAAAGAUUACCGUAGGGUCAGAUGAUUUUUUAUUGUAUUUCCUUGUAAGCUGUUUGUUUGGUGCACUGUACCUGUAUUCUGUAUGCUUGUUUUUAUGGCAGAAGGAAAAGAACGAUGCCGUUUUAGCCAAAUAGGAAGGCAACAAAUGGAAAGAAAUGAAUGGAUUAUACCUUGCAAAACAAAGUGUGGGUUGUUU